Molecule: non-coding RNA, 160 nt
Filed under: Clostridium cuniculi
Lineage: Bacteria; Bacillati; Bacillota; Clostridia; Eubacteriales; Clostridiaceae
Description: SAM riboswitch (S box leader)
Rfam family: SAM riboswitch aptamer (S box leader)
About the family: The SAM riboswitch is found upstream of a number of genes which code for proteins involved in methionine or cysteine biosynthesis in Gram-positive bacteria. The SAM riboswitch acts at the level of transcription termination control.
Source: RNAcentral
CUUAUUAAGAGUGGUGGAGGGACUGGCCCUACGAAGCCCAGCAACCUAUUAACAGUUAUUAGUUACUAGUGAGAUUGAAAGAGAUCAUUUAGGAUUUCAAUCAUAAAAUACUAACUAUGUUAAUGUGGUGCUAAAUCCUACAGGAUAACUGAGAGAUAAG